Long non-coding RNA from Felis catus (domestic cat), 392 nucleotides. RefSeq lists it as uncharacterized. Lineage: Eukaryota; Metazoa; Chordata; Mammalia; Carnivora; Felidae. The transcript has 2 exons. The record is from RefSeq and is a predicted model, not a curated record.
GUCCGAUGGGGGUGAAAGAAACAACAGGUUGCAAUGUUCAGCUCUUCUACAAUCUGAGGAUGUGCUGCAGACAGUUAACGGUCACUAACCCUCAUUAUUCCAUUCCUUCAUUCAGGAAGUAUUCGCCGGGGUGUUUCUUUUGCGUCAGGGCACAGUAUAUGCAUCACAGGUACCACGAUGCUUUUCCUAUCGUGAGGAGUUAAUGACGGGAACACAGCGUUUACAGAUGCUGAAAACUGAGGUCCCAACAUCAGAGAAAACAUGAGAAGCCACACAACGAGGGAAGAGCUGCCAGUGUGUGUGUUUGUGAGUCCCUGGAUUGUAGUCCAGGCUAUUAGACUUUUAACCCUGAACUUAGUAUACAUUUCAGUAAUUAAAGAGCAAGUCACGUC